GAUGAACGCUAGCUACAGGCUUAACACAUGCAAGUCGAGGGGCAGCAUGGUCUUAGCUUGCUAAGGCCGAUGGCGACCGGCGCACGGGUGAGUAACACGUAUCCAACCUGCCGUCUACUCUUGGACAGCCUUCUGAAAGGAAGAUUAAUACAAGAUGGCAUCAUGAGUCCGCAUGUUCACAUGAUUAAAGGUAUUCCGGUAGACGAUGGGGAUGCGUUCCAUUAGAUAGUAGGCGGGGUAACGGCCCACCUAGUCUUCGAUGGAUAGGGGUUCUGAGAGGAAGGUCCCCCACAUUGGAACUGAGACACGGUCCAAACUCCUACGGGAGGCAGCAGUGAGGAAUAUUGGUCAAUGGGCGAGAGCCUGAACCAGCCAAGUAGCGUGAAGGAUGACUGCCCUAUGGGUUGUAAACUUCUUUUAUAAAGGAAUAAAGUCGGGUAUGCAUACCCGUUUGCAUGUACUUUAUGAAUAAGGAUCGGCUAACUCCGUGCCAGCAGCCGCGGUAAUACGGAGGAUCCGAGCGUUAUCCGGAUUUAUUGGGUUUAAAGGGAGCGUAGAUGGAUGUUUAAGUCAGUUGUGAAAGUUUGCGGCUCAACCGUAAAAUUGCAGUUGAUACUGGAUAUCUUGAGUGCAGUUGAGGCAGGCGGAAUUCGUGGUGUAGCGGUGAAAUGCUUAGAUAUCACGAAGAACUCCGAUUGCGAAGGCAGCCUGCUAAGCUGCAACUGACAUU
RNAcentral lists this ribosomal RNA (730 nucleotides) under uncultured Bacteroidales bacterium. RNAcentral describes it as "bacterial SSU rRNA". It matches the Rfam family "Bacterial small subunit ribosomal RNA", at positions 28 to 747 of the family's 1533-position model. Lineage: Bacteria; Pseudomonadati; Bacteroidota; Bacteroidia; Bacteroidales. The record is from RNAcentral.